GCUGGGCGUGGUAGUGCGUGCCUGUAAUCCCAGUUACUAGGGAGGCUGAGGCAGGAGAAUCACUUGAACCCAGGAGACGGAGGUUGCAGUGAGCUGAGAUCCUACCACUGCACUCCAGCAUGGGUGACAGAGUGAGACUCUGUCUCAA
Molecule: non-coding RNA, 148 nt
Filed under: Homo sapiens (human)
Lineage: Eukaryota; Metazoa; Chordata; Mammalia; Primates; Hominidae
Source: Rfam by way of RNAcentral